This 235-nucleotide unclassified non-coding RNA is filed under the name Hevea brasiliensis (rubber tree). Lineage: Eukaryota; Viridiplantae; Streptophyta; Magnoliopsida; Malpighiales; Euphorbiaceae. The record is from RNAcentral.
CCCAUACCAAACGCGCCGCCGAUGUCAUCUAAAAUACGGUCCGGACAGGGUUCACGUGAAGUCUCCGGCGUGCCCAUUAAAGAUAAAUAAAGUUACAAGGAGAACUUUCGUUAGAGAAAGAAGCUUUGUUUUAAGGCUACCGUGAAUGAAACAAGGAGAAGCCACCUUUAGGUUUUCAAUUUGGGCUGCCGAAGGGUCAGGAUUAUGGCAAUUUCCGAAUAUAGCCCUGUUCAAG